UACCUGCAGCUCAAGUGGUGACCGCUAUUAUUGGGCCUAAAACGUUCGUAGCCGGUUUGGUAAAUGCCUGGGUAAAUCGUGUAGCUUAACUAUACGAAUUCCGGGUAGACUGCUAAACUUGAGACCGGGAGAAGCUAGAGGUACUCCUGGGGUAGAGGUGAAAUUCUGUAAUCCUGGGGGGGACCACCAGUGGCGAAGGCGUCUAGCUAGAACGGGUCUGACGGUGAGGAACGAAGCCCUGGGGCGCAAACCGGAUUAGAUACCCGGGUAGUCCAGGGUGUAAACGCUGCUUGCUUGAUGUUAGUUGGGCUCCGAGCCCAAUUAGUGUCGGAGAGAAGUUGUUAAGCAAGCUGCUUAGGGAAAGUACGAUCGACAAGAUUAGAAACUUAAAGGAAUUGGGCGGGGGAGCACAGCAACGGGGUGGAGCGUGCGGUUU
Molecule: ribosomal RNA, 436 nt
Filed under: uncultured archaeon
Lineage: Archaea
Description: bacterial SSU rRNA
Rfam family: Archaeal small subunit ribosomal RNA
Source: RNAcentral